RNAcentral lists this non-coding RNA (28 nucleotides) under Mus musculus (house mouse). The record is from RNAcentral. Lineage: Eukaryota; Metazoa; Chordata; Mammalia; Rodentia; Muridae.
UAUAAACCCCUUACCAAAAUAACCUCAC